GAACCCCUUCUUGAAAUCUUAUUUUAUUUUAUUUUGCGUACAGAAUUUUGAAACUUUUGACUUAGCAGUAGACCAUAGUUCACCCUAAUUGACCAAGCAUGGUCUUUCCAGGCUCACUAGAUCCUCCCACUUACUCUCUUUCUCCCUUCGGUUUCAUCGCGCUACUGCCCUGCACUACCAACGGGGUGGUGACACGUGGUCUAUUUUCCCCUCCUUUUUAUUCUUUCUUCUCUUUACAAAUCUCCCACCAUUUCCUAUCUUUCUAUUUUUCUUCUUCUCCACUACUAUCUAGCUCUCUUUUUCUUUCUAUUUCUUCCAAUCUUCCUACUGUAUCUCCACCGUGACACUCGAAAUCCAAUUUUCUUCUUAUUCUUUUCCCUCUUCUUUUCUUUCUCUUCUCCUUCUUUUCAUCACUUUCCUUGUACCCACGAUGCCUCUAUCUCCAACUAGGUCACCACCCUUUGGCAUUUGGGCAGCUUACACGUUGAUGGGAGACCGGGGUGAGGAUCUUUGGUUUUGGCUUGGAACGAAAAAUUUUGUGCGUGCAAGAACCAACAGUAAAAGCACUUGAAAACUCGGACUUCUAUUUUCUCUCAUUG
This 599-nucleotide long non-coding RNA is filed under the name Ananas comosus (pineapple). RNAcentral's name for it is "long non-coding RNA (ACOM_LNC031728)". Lineage: Eukaryota; Viridiplantae; Streptophyta; Magnoliopsida; Poales; Bromeliaceae. The record is from RNAcentral.